RNAcentral lists this ribosomal RNA (469 nucleotides) under uncultured bacterium. Its description in RNAcentral is "bacterial SSU rRNA". It matches the Rfam family "Bacterial small subunit ribosomal RNA", at positions 28 to 491 of the family's 1533-position model. The record is from RNAcentral.
GAUGAACGCUAGCGGCAGGCUUAACACAUGCAAGUCGAGGGGCAGCACGGGUAGCAAUACCUGGUGGCGACCGGCGCAAGGGUGCGUAACGCGUGAGCAACAUGCCCUAUACAGGGGGAUAAUCCAGGGAAACUUGGUCUAAUAUCCCAUAGUAUUUAGAGGAGGCAUCUUCUAUAAAUUAAAGCUUCGGUGGUAUAGGAUUGGCUCGCGUGACAUUAGCUAGAUGGUGAGGUAACGGCUCACCAUGGCAAUGAUGUUCUAGGGGUUCUGAGAGGAAGGCCCCCCACACUGGGACUGAGACACGGCCCAGACUCCUACGGGAGGCAGCAGUGAGGAAUAUUGGACAAUGGAUGGAAAUCUGAUCCAGCCAUGCCGCGUGCAGGAAGACAGCCCUAUGGGUUGUAAACUGCUUUUAUAUGGGAGCAAUAAGGUCUACGUGUAGACUGAUGAGAGUACCAUAUGAAUAAGC